Molecule: ribosomal RNA, 649 nt
Filed under: uncultured bacterium
Lineage: Bacteria
Description: bacterial SSU rRNA
Rfam family: Bacterial small subunit ribosomal RNA
Source: RNAcentral
CAGGCCUAACACAUGCAAGUCGAGCGAGAAAGCCCUUCGGGGUGAGUACAGCGGCGGACGGGUGAGUAACGCGUAGGAAUCUACCCAGUAGUGGGGGACAACUAGUGGAAACGCUAGCUAAUACCGCAUACGCCCUAAGGGGGAAAGCGGGGGAUCUUCGGACCUCGUGCUAUUGGAUGAGCCUGCGUAAGAUUAGCUUGUUGGUGAGGUAAUGGCUCACCAAGGCUACGAUCUUUAGCUGGUCUGAGAGGAUGAUCAGCCACACCGGGACUGAGACACGGCCCGGACUCCUACGGGAGGCAGCAGUCGGGAAUAUUGCGCAAUGGGGGAAACCCUGACGCAGCCAUGCCGCGUGUGUGAAGAAGGCCCUAGGGUUGUAAAGCACUUUCAAUUGGGAGGAAAAGCUAAUGGUUAAUAACCAUUAGCCCUGACGUUACCUUUAGAAGAAGCACCGGCUAACUCCGUGCCAGCAGCCGCGGUAAUACGGAGGGUGCAAGCGUUAAUCGGAAUUACUGGGCGUAAAGCGCGCGUAGGCGGUUUUUUAAGUCGGAUGUGAAAGCCCCGGGCUCAACCUGGGAACUGCAUCCGAUACUGGAUCACUAGAAUGCGGGAGAGGGAGGUAGAAUUCCAUGUGUAGCAGUGAAAUGCG